Non-coding RNA from Zootermopsis nevadensis, 879 nucleotides. The record is from RefSeq and is a predicted model, not a curated record. NCBI's taxonomy places the organism in Eukaryota, Metazoa, Arthropoda, Insecta, Blattodea, Termopsidae.
AUUAUUAUUCAUCUAAAUAUUUUAGUGAAAAAGUUUUAAAUUUUAUCCAUUUUGUUUAUAUAUUGUUAGGGUGAUACAAAAACAGUUUCUACCACACCAAACCAGCUGGCUUUUGUCCGCGUAUACUGUGGUCCAACUAAUCAGUGCACUGUGCCAAACUCAUCCCUCUCAGCAGCUCAUAUUGAUGUCACAACAAAGCCUGCAAUCAUAUUCAGAAUUGCAGCUCGUAAUGAAAAAGGCUAUGGUCCUGCUACCCAAGUAAGGUGGUUACAGGACCCCUCUACUCAAGUCAAGGUGCCAGCGGGUAUGAAACGCCCAGGCGCUGAUAGCAAACCGAUGUCUCCUGUCAAAAGAAUGAAAGGUGAAGAUUCUUGAAGUGGUUAAGUGAUUUAAGAAGUAUAAUAGUAUUUCUUUUUCAUGAAGAAGUUGUUUGUUCUGCUUAUGACAUAAAUCAUGUCCAGGACAGCCAGUUUUUACUCAAGAGUGUAAAGUUGCAUAUUAACAGACAGCUUGGUAAUGUUGAUACAAGAAUCAGUAUGUUUAUUUCGUGAAUUAAGGCUGGUUCAGUUUUAAAUUAUAAACAUUUAACAUUGUUUAUGUCCAGACUUAUUUCUCGGAAAAGAAUUUUCUUUUAGUUAAUUUCCUUUGCUUUAUCUCAGCUUAGUAUUUUUCCCAACAGAGUUUAUGUAAGUCAUAUUAACAUUCAAAUGUAAUUAACUAGUUAAUAAAUUGUAUUUUAUUGUAGAAUAUCAGGGGUGGAAUGAACAUCAUUUAGCCUCUAAACAGAGUUGCUCAUUUCACUUAACAUUUAUUUGUACUCACAUGCUGUUUAGUGGAAUAUAAUCAAUAAAUUGAAUACCCGCUUUAUUGUGUAUGGAA